RNAcentral lists this ribosomal RNA (430 nucleotides) under uncultured Desulfobacca sp. Its description in RNAcentral is "bacterial SSU rRNA". It matches the Rfam family "Bacterial small subunit ribosomal RNA", at positions 355 to 776 of the family's 1533-position model. The record is from RNAcentral. Lineage: Bacteria; Pseudomonadati; Thermodesulfobacteriota; Desulfobaccia; Desulfobaccales; Desulfobaccaceae.
UGAGGAAUAUUGCGCAAUGGGGGAAACCCUGACGCAGCGAUGCCGCGUGAGUGAAGAAGGCCUUCGGGUCGUAAAGCUCUGUCAAGUGGGAAGAAUAGCGGCGGGACGAAUAAUCCCGUCGUAUGACGGUACCACUGAAGGAAGCACCGGCUAACUCCGUGCCAGCAGCCGCGGUAAGACGGAGGGUGCAAGCGUUAUUCGGAUUUAUUGGGCGUAAAGAGCGUGUAGGCGGCCGGUCAAGCCAGAUGUGAAAGCCCAGGGCUUAACCCUGGAAGUGCAUUUGGAACUGGUUGGCUUGAGUUCGGGAGAGGGAAGUGGAAUUCCGGGUGUAGAGGUGAAAUUCGUAGAUAUCCGGAGGAACACCGGUGGCGAAGGCGACUUCCUGGACCGAAACUGACGCUGAGACGCGAAAGCGUGGGGAGCAAACAGG